Molecule: transfer RNA, 73 nt
Filed under: candidate division WOR-1 bacterium RIFOXYA2_FULL_37_7
Lineage: Bacteria; Bacillati
Also listed under: 2 other names
Description: tRNA-Thr
Rfam family: tRNA
About the family: Transfer RNA (tRNA) molecules are approximately 80 nucleotides in length. Their secondary structure includes four short double-helical elements and three loops (D, anti-codon, and T loops).
Source: RNAcentral
GCCGAUGUAGCUCAAUUGGUAGAGCAACUGAUUUGUAAUCAGUAGGUUGGUGGUUCAAGUCCACUCGUCGGCU